Molecule: ribosomal RNA, 253 nt
Filed under: uncultured bacterium
Lineage: Bacteria
Description: partial 16S ribosomal RNA
Rfam family: Bacterial small subunit ribosomal RNA
Source: RNAcentral
UACGAAGGGGGCUAGCGUUGUUCGGAAUCACUGGGCGUAAAGGGCGUGUAGGCGGUCAGGUAAGUGGAAUGUGAAAGCCCUCGGCUCACCCGAGGAUCUGCAUUCCAAACUGCCUGGCUUGAGUAUGGGAGAGGAUGAGGGAAUUCCUGGUGUAGCGGUGAAAUGCGUAGAUAUCAGGAGGAACACCGGUGGCGAAGGCGCUCAUCUGGCCCAAUACUGACGCUGAGGCGCGAAAGCUAGGGGAGCAAACGGG